GUGAGCUUUAAUUCAAGAAGGAAAAUGGGAAUCCACCAGAAUUGUAAAGGACACCCAGAUCCUUGGGAAUACUGGUAAACAGCCCUUGUGAUGGCAUCUGGCUGAUAAAAGUGACUGAAACGCCAGCAUGUGAGAGAGGCAGUGAGCCUCCCUCUGUGACUCACCUUUCCACUGGGGACCCAAGCAACCCAGGUAGAGGGAGGGCAUCUUGUUUCUCCAAAGCCCUGGAGCUAAUAUGGUGAGUGCCUUGGAGAUGCUGUGAGGGAAAGACGUAGGGAAAAGUUGCAGACACUAACCCCAGACCUGGGACUGACCGCAGGAUGUCAUUUUGAAUUUAGGCAUAUACAAAGUCAGCCAUUCUUUGGUGACCUAGCAGCAUAGCUGCUUGGCAUUUUAGUCUUGGGCCAGAGACUAGAGUGCCUUCUCUGGCAGGAUAAGGGCCUUCAUAGCCAGAACUGUGAAAAGCACCUCAGUAGUAGGCUGUGGGAUGGUGCUCUCCUCCAUCGCAGGCCAGGGAUAGAAGGAGAGCUGCUAUGGCUGAAGUUUCUCCUCGGUGAUGAGAUUUGCAGGCAGGGCCAGAUUGGCAACCUGGAACCUGUCUGCAUGUGCCAUUGCUGGUUGUCCCAGUCUGCUCCCUUGAGAUCGAGGUGCAGUGGGGCUCUCUCUGCUCCACCCCCAGGCAGAAAUGUAGGCAUUUGGAAUGCUCAGUUGCCUGGAACAGCAUGAGCCACCCCACCCUUCAUGGACAUAGACCCUAGUACAGUGAGGCACUCUCUGCUCCACACCCAGGCAGAUCUCCAGGCAUUCAGAGCACCUACUCAUCUGGAUCAGCAGCUUGGCCCACUCCACACUUCCUGUGCAAAGGUCCUAGUGCAGGGAGGCCCUCUCUGCUCCAUGCCCAUGUAGAUCUCCAGGCAUUUGGAGCGCCUGCUCUCUUCAAUCAGCAGCCUGAACUGCCUCACCUUUCCUGUGCAGAGAUCCUGGUGUAGGGCAGGGGGACCUUUCUGCUACAUGCCCAGGCAGAUCUCCAAGCAUUCAGAGCACCUGCUUGCCUGGUUCAGGCUUGGGUCAUCCCACACCUCCUGUGAAGAGAUGUUGGUGCAGAGGGUCCCUCUCUGUUGCAUGCCCAGGCAGAUCUCUAAGCACUUGCAGUACCCACUGCCCUAGAUUUUAGGAGUUUAGGCUGCUCCCAUCCCCAUGUAGAGAUCUUGAGGCCAGUGGAGUUUCCCAGUUCCACGCCUAGGCACAGUACUGGGAGCUUGGUGGCUGGCACUGGAUUCUCCCUUGGUGCUGGUGCUUGUGUCUGCCCUUUCUGGAUCAAGUAGGCUUCAUUCCUGGGAUGUAAGAUUCGUUCAACACAGACAAAUCAACAAAUGUGAUUCACUACAUAAAAAAAAUUAAAAAUAA
RNAcentral lists this long non-coding RNA (1407 nucleotides) under Homo sapiens (human). RNAcentral's name for it is "HSALNT0090423". The record is from RNAcentral. Lineage: Eukaryota; Metazoa; Chordata; Mammalia; Primates; Hominidae.